ACAGAAAACAGUUCCGAGAAGAACUACCCAAGGCCUUCGUCUAGGUACUUUACUUUUCUUAGCACCACAAUACAUUUUUCCAGAUGAAGAAACACACACUAAAUUCACUCCGAAGCACAGUUUGUUAGUGCACUGUACGUUCUGCAGCUUUCAGUGCAAUAUUAUAUAAUCAACAGUGCUAGUCAUAUCUGUUUUUCAAGUGAAAAGUCUAGUUAUUGGAAAGAGAACACCAUCGAUGAUAGUCCAGAAAAGAUUUGGUUUUGAUUGGCCAAUGAAUGUUAAAGUGAGUUUCCAUAUUCCUGAACUAAAUUUUGCACCUCAGCUGAGAACUGUAUCCCCUUAAUGGUCACCAGAUUGCGCAUCGGUUCAUUCGCUAGUUUUCUUGCAAAAAGAGGGGUUGUAAUAUUAGCAUUAUCCCAUAAGCAAGAUCUCAGGAGACAUUUAAUAAAUGCCAUUAAGUUGUCAACAGUGACAUUUGAAUCAAAGAGAAAGAUUAAAUAUCAGAAGUGCCUUCCGUUUGAAUAUCUGAGGAAGAUGUUGUUGAUGUAAUUAAAAUAAAUAUUUUCCCUGCUAUCAUUACCAUAAAUAAAAUGAAGGAAAGCUAAAAACUCAAAUGCAUUUUGGAGAACAGCAAAAACAAGCAACAUUUACUCCAGCCAUUAUUAUCUUGUCGCUUCAUUCACCUUAGUUAAUAGGGGACUUAACGUUCUACAAAUACAUGUCAUACAAGAAUUAGCUGCUAUGCACUAACUCAGCACCGGGAUUAGAAUUCUAGUGUAGUUUCAUGUCAAGUCAAAUAGCAGUUACCUAGCCAAAGCCAUCUACACCUCUUUACUAUUUUGAGAAAAAGUCACACUGUUCCCUGCAGCUGCAACGAUGCUCUAUCUAUAAAGUUAGCCAGCCAAACAAACAGGGGCGUGUUCAUAACAGAAACCGUUUACCAAAUGGAAGCAAACAGAGCAAAACAAGAGUUUCUAUUGGACAAAUUCAGGUAGGUCUCUUCCCCAUUCCAUUUGCUGCUGUUUAUGAAACAUUUUGCCACAGAAUCGUCAGAAUGAACACACUCCAGCCUUCCCUCCGCUCCCUGGCAUCCAUCAGCAUGGUCUUAAUCUUGACUGUAAUACCCAAUUGAUGCCAUUGACAUUGACACUCAAUAUAUUUUGUUUUAUUCGCAGCAAUAUUCACCAUUUUAUUAAAGCCUGAAUGUUUUAAUUGAAUAUGUUUCUGUUAACUUAUGUUGUAGCUAGGUAGCAGCUAACUAACUGCUGCUAGCUAGCAGGAUCUAGAAUUAAAAGUCCCAUCCCAGCAACCAACAACUACCUAGCAACGUCAUAGCCAUAGCUACCUCUCUAACGGGUGAUGGUCACAGAUGAGGAAUGCCUCUGUUGUCAAGAGUGUGCACAGGGGCAGGGACUGCUAGCAGAGAUUUAGGAGGCUGCAUGCCUCUUCGCACACCCCAGUGUUGGCCCCCACACAGACAGAGGGAUACUUACUACCUUUCACAUCCCAAAGAGGAACUCUUUGGAAUAGUCGGUUCCGGCCGGCCAGCAAGUACCAGAUGGGACUGGGUUGUGGCUCCACUGUUAAUCGAGGACCUAUGAUCUCCUUCCUGGAUACAAAGUGAUCUGCUCAGAUCUUCUGGUCCAGCCUCAUAUCGUCCUAAAUUACUAAAAUUGAGGGGUCUCCAGGGGCCACUAGGGGCCCGAGGUGUUCAGGGGCCACAGAUUCACCAUCACCUGUUACACUCAGCCAAAGUACACAGGAAGCUCAUUCCUCCACACUUUCACCGGCUCCAACAGAACCUAGACCCAGACAGCAGUCAAUCACUCUUCUGCCUUCCUCUUCCCUGCUGCGGAUGACUCCCACCAACGCAACUACAGCUGUGUUUAUGAGAAUUAUGUUUUCUCUCAUAACUCUCACUUUCAGCCUCUCCUCUACCAACCUUGCUCAUCAGACACUUUGUAGUGCUGGUAAUCCUACUAACAGCCAUCAUUGUACUUCAAGGUAAAGACAUUUACUCAGAUGUGACAAGUCAUUUGACCUAGAUGGAGAGGGUGCCUCCUAAACCACCAGGAGGCAGAAGAGAGUGAACAGGGUGAGCAGCAUGGAUCUUUAUGACAAUGUCAAUGCCAUGGAGAUGAUCUCGCUGAGCUCCAGAGCUGAAGCCAGUCCGGGAGAGGAGAGAGCAGCCCAGGGGACGGAGUAGGACAAGAAUGAUGCUGACCCUACAUGCUAAUCUUAGGUCAGUUUUGUGUUUUAAAAUGUAUGGUCAGCAGAGCACUGGUGCAUAAAAUGUGGCGGCAGGUAGCUUAGUGGUUAGAGCCAGCAACCAAAAGGUUGCUAAAUCGAAUCCCCGAGCUGUCAUGGUAAAAAUCUGUCAUUCUGCCCCUGAACAAGGCAGUUAACCCACUGUUCCUAGGCUGUCAUUGUUCUUAACUGACUUGCCUAGUUGAAAUGAAAAACUUAAAUUGUUCGUAUUUUAAUAACACAAGUUCAGAAUUUGUUUAUCUUUCUAUAACCCUGGAAGAAGUCUAAAAGGAGUGACUGCAACCACCAUUAUUCCUUUUUGUAUUGUUUUUUCCCCCCAGAAUUUUUAACAUGGAGUUUAUUAAGAGACUAGGUACAUUUUCGUCUGGUUUGUGUUGUAUACAUUGCAUUCGAUCGUAAAAAAAGGACUCAUGUUUGUCACAAGUCAAUUUGGUUUAUUGUUGGAGUUUAUCUCUGAUGAUGCUGUUGAUUAGAAAUGUUAUGAUAUUGAUUAUGAUGAUUGUAGAUUAGUGUUAUGAUGUUGUUCAUAGUAUUUAAUGUUAUUAUCUUAUGAUCUGUUGUUUAGGGAGAAAGCUCAGUACAUAGUGCACGUCUGAUAUAUAACAGUGUGUGUGUGUGUGUGUGUGUGUGUGUGUGUGUGUGUGUGUGUGUGUGUGUGUGUGUGUGUGUGUGUGUGUGUGUGUGUGUGUGUGUGUGUGUGUGUGUGUGUGUGUGUGUGUUGUGUACAUAUUUAAGUAAUUCAAUUAAUAAGUUUAAAUAAACAUUUGAUUUAGCUUUCUGGUAACUUACCCCAAAUUCCAACAUUUUACACAAAAACACUUAUUGGGUGUUUUGACAACAUGGAUACUUAUUGUAAAAGUAGAGGAAGAUUGCAGAAGAGGUAAGACAGCAUUUUUAUUGAUGAUCGUUUGGGAGUUUGAGUGAGUGCAUAGUUUGAGUGAGUGCAUGAGUGUGUGAGUCAGGGCAAGGUCUGACCAAUACAGGACAAAGAACCAGAAUACACAGAUCGCAAAAAGUAUUUUUUAAAUUUUGUUUGUUUCCAUUAGAAAUCACAUCGGAACCCAAAUAAAAGAGGGAGGGAAAAAUAAUUGGGUAAGGGAGAAAAGAAAGAAAAGCAAACCCGAAAACAUUUGCCACUCAUACUGCAAUCCUAGAAACCUUUUGACUUCUUGUCACCGUGGGCAACAGUCUUCAUCUGACCAUUUAAGGAGCUCUUCUAAUUGGCUGAGACAGAGCUCAAGCAAAGAGAAAGCAUGAAGUAUUGAAUAAUUCUAUAUCGGAAUGAGUCACAAGAUGGCGGGUAUGACUGAAUAGUUGUCGGCCCUGGAGAUGAAGGCGACUGUUACUAUCUGGCUGGUCAGCCAACUGGUCCCAUCUGGCCGGCCAACUGGUACUAUCUGGCUGACUGGAACUAUUCAGGCUGAUCGGCCGACUGGUCCCAUCUGGCCGGCCGACUGGUCCUAUCUGGCCGGCCGACUGGUCCUUUCAGGCUGGUUGACUGGUCCGGCCGACUGGUCUUUUCUGGCAAGCCGACUGAUAAUAUCUGACGGGUCCCAUCUGGCCGGCAUACUGGUCCCUUCUAUCUGGUUGGCCAACUUCUCCCAUCCGGCCAGCCAACUGGUACUAUCUGGUACUAUAGCUCUCUUGUCCUAUCUGGCCGGCCAAAUGUUCAUAUCUGGCCGGCCAACUAGUACUAUCUGGUACUAUAGCUCUCUUGUCCUAUCUGGCCGGCCAAAUGUUCAUAUCUGUCCGGCCAACUGGUACUAUCUGGCCAGCUGACCGACUGGACCAAUCUGACCGGCCUAGUUGUCCCAUCUAGCUGGCAUGCUAGUCCUUACGACUGGUCCAGCCCACUUGUCCUAUCCGACUGUUCAUAUCUGGCUGGCUGACUGGUCCUAUCUGGCCGGUCAACUGUUCAUAUCUAGUGGACUGAUGCUUUGAGCCUGAAGAUCUGAGGAGAAAUAGAGAGGAGAAAGAGAGAGAGAGAGAGCAGAGGAGAGUUGGGCUUGACCUUGAGUGGAAAAGUGGAAAAGGUUACUGGUUAUGAUUACACCACUGGUGAGAAGUCAAUGUUGUUUACACGUAAUUUCAACUCCAAAAAUCUAUGUUGAUGACAUUAAAUCAACCUGGAAAACAGAUUGGAUUUUUUAAAAGUCGUCAAUGUAAGGGCAUUUAAUAUUUUUGGGGUUUUGUAAAAGGUAAUCAACGUAAAGGAAUUUAGUAAUGUUUUCACCCAAAUCCAAUGACAUGGUAAAAUUUUUUGUUGAUUUCAUAUUAGUUGCCAACUCAACCAAAUGUAAAUCAAAACCAGACGUCUGUCUGUGCCCAGUGGGAUGUUAGUCUGUCAGCCCUAUCUCUUUUGACAUCUCCCUCUCUCUCUCUCUCAUCCCCAACUCUCUCCCCUCCUCUGUCUCGGUCUCUCUCUCUCCCUCAUAUAUAUAUAUAUAUAUAUAUACAUACAUAUAUUCCAGACACAGAACCCCCCCCCCUCUCCUGCUCGAACAUCAUCUCCUCUCCAUAUGUAUAUGGACAGUGAAGCGUUUAAAAAACAAAUGGGCUCUUUUUAUUCAUGUUGGUUUCUGUUGAAGAGUCCAGACACACCAUAAUUGUGGACGCUGCAGGAAGGAGAAGAAGGAAAAGUGAUGAAGGAUAGAGCGUCACACUUAAGAAUCAGUGCCAGUGAGAGAUAUUGACGAUCUUGGUGUUUUCCUCAUCCCCUGCGGGCAUUGACGAUGCAAGUGUGUACAGGAACUGCUUGUGACACACAAUGUGGUAAGACUCCACCCGCUCUUUCAACUAGCCCAAUAUGCCUUUCUGAAGAAGUCUUGGU
This is a long non-coding RNA of Oncorhynchus keta (chum salmon), 5098 nucleotides long. RefSeq lists it as uncharacterized. The transcript is spliced from 3 exons. The record is from RefSeq and is a predicted model, not a curated record. NCBI's taxonomy places the organism in Eukaryota, Metazoa, Chordata, Actinopteri, Salmoniformes, Salmonidae.